GAUGAACGCUGGCGGCGUGCCUAAUACAUGCAAGUCGAGCGAACAGAUGAGGAGCUUGCUCCUCUGACGUUAGCGGCGGACGGGUGAGUAACACGUGGAUAACCUACCUAUAAGACUGGGAUAACUUCGGGAAACCGGAGCUAAUACCGGAUAAUAUAUUGAACCGCAUGGUUCAAUAGUGAAAGACGGUUUUGCUGUCACUUAUAGAUGGAUCCGCGCCGCAUUAGCUAGUUGGUAAGGUAACGGCUUACCAAGGCAACGAUGCGUAGCCGACCUGAGAGGGUGAUCGGCCACACUGGAACUGAGACACGGUCCAGACUCCUACGGAAGGCAGCAGUAGGGAAUCUUCCGCAAUGGGCGAAAGCCUGACGGAGCAACGCCGCGUGAGUGAUGAAGGUCUUCGGAUCGUAAAACUCUGUUAUUAGGGAAGAACAAAUGUGUAAGUAACUAUGCACGUCUUGACGGUACCUAAUCAGAAAGCCACGGCUAACUACGUG
Molecule: ribosomal RNA, 497 nt
Filed under: uncultured bacterium
Lineage: Bacteria
Description: partial 16S ribosomal RNA
Rfam family: Bacterial small subunit ribosomal RNA
Source: RNAcentral